AUUGAACGCUGGCGGCAGGCCUAACACAUGCAAGUCGAACGGCAGCACGGAUGCUGCUACCUGUUUCCGAGGGGGAAGGGUGUGUGUAAUAUAUCGACAUAUGUCCUAGAGUGGGGUAAAGUCCGGCAAAAGGCGCAUUUAUACCACAAGCGCUGAGGGGAUAAGUGCGGGAGACUUGGACCUCACGCACUCAGGUGAUCGGAGGUCGGAUUAGCUAGUUGGUGGGGUAAAGGCCUACCAAGGCGACGAUCCGUAGCUGGUCUGAGAGGAGGAGCAGCCACACUGGGACUGAGACACGGUCCAGACUCCUACGGGAGGCAGCAGUGGGGAAUAUUGGACAAUGGGCGAAAGCCUGAUCCAGCAAUGCCGCGUGUGUGAAGAAGGCCUUCGGGUUGUAAAGCACUUUUGUUAGGAAAGAAAGGCAUGAAGUUAAUACCGUGCUGGUAUGACGGUACCAGCAGAAUAAGCACCGGCUAACUUCGUG
RNAcentral lists this ribosomal RNA (484 nucleotides) under uncultured bacterium. RNAcentral's name for it is "partial 16S ribosomal RNA". It matches the Rfam family "Bacterial small subunit ribosomal RNA", at positions 30 to 507 of the family's 1533-position model. The record is from RNAcentral.